This 397-nucleotide ribosomal RNA is filed under the name Pedobacter yonginensis. Its description in RNAcentral is "bacterial SSU rRNA". It matches the Rfam family "Bacterial small subunit ribosomal RNA", at positions 1131 to 1533 of the family's 1533-position model. The record is from RNAcentral. Lineage: Bacteria; Pseudomonadati; Bacteroidota; Sphingobacteriia; Sphingobacteriales; Sphingobacteriaceae.
GUGGGGACUCUAAACAGACUGCCUGUGCAAACAGAGAGGAAGGAGGGGACGACGUCAAGUCAUCAUGGCCCUUACGUCCGGGGCUACACACGUGCUACAAUGGACGGUACAGAGGGCAGCUAGCCGGCAACGGUAUGCGAAUCUCACAAAGCCGUUCACAGUUCGGAUUGGGGUCUGCAACUCGACCCCAUGAAGUUGGAUUCGCUAGUAAUCGCGUAUCAGCAAUGACGCGGUGAAUACGUUCCCGGGCCUUGUACACACCGCCCGUCAAGCCAUGGAAGUUGGGGGUACCUAAAGUAUGUAACCGCAAGGAGCGUCCUAGGGUAAAACCGAUAACUGGGGCUAAGUCGUAACAAGGUAGCCGUACCGGAAGGUGCGGCUGGAAUACCUCCUUUCU